RNAcentral lists this long non-coding RNA (1977 nucleotides) under Homo sapiens (human). RNAcentral's name for it is "long non-coding RNA NONHSAT185912.1". The record is from RNAcentral. Lineage: Eukaryota; Metazoa; Chordata; Mammalia; Primates; Hominidae.
GUGAACUCUAUAGAUUCUGCUGGUAUACAGCUACAUCCAGGAGAGAAUGCUGACAGUCCUGCAGAUAUUAGGAUCAAGGAAGAAGAACCUGAUCCUGAAGAGUGGCAGCUCAGUGGUGAUUCUACCUUGAAUACCAAUGACCUAACACACUUAAGAGUACAGGUGGUAGAUGAAGAAGGGGACCAACAACAUCAAGAAGGAAAAAGACUUCGGAGGGUAGCUUGCACCUGUCCCAACUGUAAAGAAGGUGGUGGAAGGUGAGAAGAAAUUUGUUUGUCCAGAAUGUUCAAAACGCUUUAUGAGAAGUGACCACCUUGCCAAACAUAUUAAAACACACCAGAAUAAAAAAGGUAUUCACUCUAGCAGUACAGUGCUGGCAUCUGUGGAAGCUGCGCGAGAUGAUACUUUGAUUACUGCAGGAGGAACAACGCUUAUCCUUGCAAAUAUUCAACAAGGUUCUGUUUCAGGGAUAGGAACUGUUAAUACUUCCGCCACCAGCAAUCAAGAUAUCCUUACCAACACUGAAAUACCUUUACAGCUUGUCACAGUUUCUGGAAAUGAGACAAUGGAGUAAAUAUUACACAAAUACUUAUUCAUUGUGGUUAUUUUUAUACAGUAGUGAGAAGAAUAUUGUUCCUAAGUUCUUAGAUAUCUUUUUAUUGAUGUGCAAAAAUUUUUGGAUUGACAGUAACUUGGUUAUACAUGACACUGAAAUGCCUUACUUUGUAUGAUAUUCCAUAGUAUAUUAAAAAUGGUAAAAUUGCAUGGGUUUUGUAGGUACUUUUGGAAUCUAGAAGAAAUGAAAUUUUACCAAGUUAUAUAAAGAGAAAAUUGAAUUUAACAAUGCGAAUGGUAGUCUAACCAAAUGCAUCAAUCCUGUGUGGUUUAGUGUAAAAAUGAGAACAUGUUGGUAUUUAUCUAUUGUAAGAUAAAAAAGCUGGUGGGUGAAAGAAAUCAUGUUAUGAUAAAAAAUUUUGUAAUUUUCUUGAUGACUGGAAUUUUUAUUAUGCAUAACUGACAAAUCAAGUUUCCAAGCAAAUGUUACAUAGUGUAGGCUUUACUUAGCUUAUCAAUUUGUCAUUUUGAAGCUAAUUAUUUUAAUUAGGUUAACUAUGUACAAUAUUUUAAGCAUUACUCUUGUAAGAUUUUGAAAACUACAUUUUAACAUGGAACUCUAGGGAUAGUCACCUUUUAAAUCCUGUUGAAAAGCCAUGUUUAAGAUUUAAUUUGCCAAAAUAAUGUCUUGUUAAUAUUCUUUCAAUAACGAAGUUGGGCAAUAUAACCAAUGUUUAAAAAAGUUUAAAAUGUAUAAGUUGAGGCAUUUGGGUGGUAAGAGAAUGUUAUAGUGAAUUAUCCCUUUUCUUGACUAUUGGAGGACCAAAAAAAUAAGGUGUAUUGCGUCUUAGCAGUGAUUUUUAUCCAAUCUUGUUUCCAAAAACCAUGUCUCCCAGGGCCUUAAAAGCCAUCAUGUAAAUUACCAGUAAAGUGUAACAUAUGCAAACAUAACAAAAUCACUUCCAUAGUGACGAUACUCCAACCAUAUGGAUAUUAGUCAUAGAAGAACUAGAGGUUUUAUGAUAUUUUUUUAAGUCUUUUUUUUUUUUGUCUAGGUAGUCAGUCUGCACUUAAAUAUCAAUCAUUUUCCUUUUUUGCUUCUUCCCUUAAAAUUUAUAUGUAUCCAGUACAUUUAAUUGAGAAGCGUAUGUUUUUUAUUAUGCUGUAUUUUCUUUUUAUUUUUUAAUUAUUGUUUAUAUUUUCAAUUCAAAAAUGUACAAAAUAAAGUUACAUUGCUGGUCUUGUAAGAGCUAUACAGUUUUCCUAAAUGUAUACCUGUAACUGCAGCAGUUCACCUAUUUCAAAAAUUUGGAAUUCUGUUCAUUUGUUAUUCUUAAGACCACCUCAAAUUUAAAGGCUACCUUAUUGUACGUUUAAAGUGUAUUAUAACAGUGUGGUAGUUAAUAAAACACUAUUUUUUUU